CGGGGCGUAGCGCAGCCUGGUAGCGCACCUGCCUUGGGCGCAGGGGGUCCCCAGUUCAAAUCUGGGCGCCCCGACCA
This 77-nucleotide transfer RNA is filed under the name Syntrophaceae bacterium. RNAcentral's name for it is "tRNA-Pro". It matches the Rfam family "tRNA". Rfam says of the family: Transfer RNA (tRNA) molecules are approximately 80 nucleotides in length. Their secondary structure includes four short double-helical elements and three loops (D, anti-codon, and T loops). The record is from RNAcentral. RNAcentral also lists the same sequence under 3 other names. Lineage: Bacteria; Pseudomonadati; Thermodesulfobacteriota; Syntrophia; Syntrophales; Syntrophaceae.